GACGAACGCUGGCGGCGUGCUUAACACAUGCAAGUCGAGCGGUAAGGCCUUUCGGGGUACACGAGCGGCGAACGGGUGAGUAACACGUGGGUGAUCUGCCCUGCACUUCGGGAUAAGCCUGGGAAACUGGGUCUAAUACCGGAUAUGACCUCCUACCGCAUGGUGGGUGGUGGAAAGAUUUAUCGGUGCAGGAUGGGCCCGCGGCCUAUCAGCUUGUUGGUGGGGUAAUGGCCUACCAAGGCGACGACGGGUAGCCGACCUGAGAGGGUGACCGGCCACACUGGGACUGAGACACGGCCCAGACUCCUACGGGAGGCAGCAGUGGGGAAUAUUGCACAAUGGGCGAAAGCCUGAUGCAGCGACGCCGCGUGAGGGAUGACGGCCUUCGGGUUGUAAACCUCUUUCAGCAGGGACGAAGCGCAAGUGACGGUACCUGCAGAAGAAGCACCGGCUAACUACGUG
This 462-nucleotide ribosomal RNA is filed under the name uncultured bacterium. RNAcentral's name for it is "partial 16S ribosomal RNA". It matches the Rfam family "Bacterial small subunit ribosomal RNA", at positions 28 to 507 of the family's 1533-position model. The record is from RNAcentral.